AGUGAACGCUGGCAGUAGGCCUAACACAUGCAAGUCGAACGGCAGCACAGUAAGAGCUUGCUCUUACGGGUGGCGAGUGGCGGACGGGUGAGGAAUACAUCGGAAUCUACUUUUUCGUGGGGGAUAACGUAGGGAAACUUACGCUAAUACCGCAUACGACCUACGGGUGAAAGCAGGGGAUCUUCGGACCUUGCGCGAUUGAAUGAGCCGAUGUCGGAUUAGCUAGUUGGCGGGGUAAAGGCCCACCAAGGCGACGAUCCGUAGCUGGUCUGAGAGGGUGACCAGGCCCCCUGGAACUGAGAAACGGCCCAGACUCCGACGGGAGGCAGUAGAGGGGGCACUGGGCAAUGGAGCUCAAUCCCGACCUAGCCAUACCGCGUCGGUGACGAAGGUGUUCGGGUUGGAAAGCCCUUGUGGUGAGAAAGAAAAGCAGAAGGUGAAAAUCUCGAUGUUCGGAGGGGACCCAAAGAAUAAGGAAGGGCUAACUUCGGG
This 492-nucleotide ribosomal RNA is filed under the name uncultured bacterium. RNAcentral's name for it is "partial 16S ribosomal RNA". It matches the Rfam family "Bacterial small subunit ribosomal RNA", at positions 29 to 507 of the family's 1533-position model. The record is from RNAcentral.